Molecule: ribosomal RNA, 164 nt
Filed under: Dupontia fisheri
Lineage: Eukaryota; Viridiplantae; Streptophyta; Magnoliopsida; Poales; Poaceae
Description: 5.8S ribosomal RNA
Rfam family: 5.8S ribosomal RNA
About the family: 5.8S ribosomal RNA (5.8S rRNA) is a component of the large subunit of the eukaryotic ribosome. It is transcribed by RNA polymerase I as part of the 45S precursor that also contains 18S and 28S rRNA. Functionally, it is thought that 5.8S rRNA may be involved in ribosome translocation.
Source: RNAcentral
CACACGACUCUCGGCAACGGAUAUCUCGGCUCUCGCAUCGAUGAAGAACGUAGCGAAAUGCGAUACCUGGUGUGAAUUGCAGAAUCCCGCGAACCAUCGAGUCUUUGAACGCAAGUUGCGCCCGAGGCCUCUUGGCUGAGGGCAUCUCUGCCUGGGCGUCACGC